AGAAAAAGAAAGAAAAAGUAGCAGUAAUACAAAAUAAAUGCAUGUGGGAAGAGACUGGAGAUAGUUUAAGGGGAUAUGCCACCAAGAAGUCACAUGUGCAUACAUACUUUACAGCCAUCACUAAAAGAAUAAAAUUAGACUCUAGCCAGAAUUAAGCAAGGAGAAUAGUCUUGUAAUGAAAACUCAUCUGCAUGCGUUAAAUUCAAGCAUAUCAUGCUCACCAAGGCGUGGUUUCAAUUACGGCUGGUGAUUGGCGGUCUAAAACGGAAUGCGUAAUUUGAAACAAAUGAAUCUCAGAAGCUAGUUGAUUGUACUGUAGCGAUUUGUUCCAUGUCUAGCCCAGUAAUCUUUAAGACUCGAUGGUAUAGAUAAAUCAUGGCCUUCUGAUGCCAACCUACUGAGAAGUCUUGUAAAAACACGACCGCUCAUUUUCCGCCCUCCAAUGCGAGCAUGGUGCUUGUUUAGAAGCUGUGGUAGCAGAAUGGUUAAAAUUGGAGAAAAAUAUGGAACCCGUUCUUGCUCUUGCUCGUAAGGUGAUGGUGAUGAUGGAAAAUAAUUGAUAAAGAUGCUUGAAGAUUGAUGAUAGAUUGAGGUUACGGUUCAAGAAUGGAGAGGAAGAUUGGUGAGCUCAUGAAUUGUUCAAGGUUGAAGGUUGGUUGAAUAAUGGUGAAGAAUUUGUGACUUUGUGAUUAUGGAGGUUGAAGAAAUUUUAGAAUGAAGGAUGAAGUGGUGAAGAUGAUGAAAUUGGGAUAUGAUAAAAUUUGGUGAAUUGAGAUUAUGGAAGAACGAAGAUUGAAAGAAUUUUGGUUUUGGAGGAUGUGAAGUUGUGGAUUUUUUUUGAGUUUGUAAUGUGUGAUUAGCCUUUUCAUGGUGAGAAUAAUGAAGUUUAGAUAGAAAAAAAAUGGAGGGAAAAUUAGUUAUGGAAGAUGAUUCAAAGCUAUUGUAGUGAUCCUUGUGAUGAUGGUUUUAAUAGUGGCUAGGAUUGAAUUGUGUUAGUUUGGAUGGAUUAAGGAAGUUAUGGAUAGUUAAAAUAGUUAGAAAUAAAUGUAAAUUUUGUGUUUGUUUAAAAUGAAAAUGAAUUUCACUUGGUUUA
Long non-coding RNA from Lathyrus oleraceus (garden pea), 1093 nucleotides. RefSeq lists it as uncharacterized. Lineage: Eukaryota; Viridiplantae; Streptophyta; Magnoliopsida; Fabales; Fabaceae. The transcript is spliced from 2 exons. The record is from RefSeq and is a predicted model, not a curated record.